AGCGAAUGUUUGCGGCGGGCCUAACACAUGCAAGUCGAACGGGCUACUUCGGUAGUCAGUGGCGCACGGGUGCGUAACACGUGGGUAAUCAACCCUCUAGACUGGGAUAACCCGGGGAAACUCGAGCUAAUACCAGAUGUGUCGCCCUGAUCCUCGGAUCGGGUCGAGAAAGGUCGCAAGGCCUGUUAGAGGACGAGCCCGCGGCCCAUCAGCUUGUUGGUGAGGUAAUGGCUCACCAAGGCUAAGACGGGUAGCUGGUCUGAGAGGAUGGCCAGCCACACUGGAACUGAGACACGGUCCAGACUCCUACGGGAGGCAGCAGUGGGGAAUAUUGCGCAAUGGGCGAGAGCCUGACGCAGCCAGCCGCGUGAGCGAUGAAGGCCU
This 384-nucleotide ribosomal RNA is filed under the name uncultured bacterium. Its description in RNAcentral is "bacterial SSU rRNA". It matches the Rfam family "Bacterial small subunit ribosomal RNA", at positions 29 to 417 of the family's 1533-position model. The record is from RNAcentral.